GUUCGAGAUGAAAUUGUGAAACUCAUUUCAUCUAAGGGAUCCAAAAGCGAAAGCAAGACGAACCUGACUUCACGUCAAAAGUGAAGGGAUUAAACUAGAAUAGAUCGAGGGCUGAAGAUGUACCAAUUUUACAGCAGGAGUACACAAUGCGACAGACACAAUGGAGACACACACAAUGGAGAGCAACAGACACAAUGGACCUGCAGGAUGCUGCACAGCACAAUAAGUUCAUCACAGAAGAUAAUAGAGACUCAUUUAGCAAAUAUCCGACACCACUAGCAUCCAUGCUGCAGUAAACGCUUUGCAUUAGCAGGUUCAGGUCAAGUGAUUUGAUGGAGUUCCCUUACUGACAGCAGAUUUUAAUUUAAAUUAGAUCUCUUUGUCAAAGAGCUGAUACUGUGUGCUUUAUAUAUACACACGUUUUCACCUUUUCAUGCCUUUUACCUGUAGUUUUGCUUUGUGUUCUUUUGCUAUUCUGAAAGCAGUCUCCCUGCAGUAAUAUAAUUGUUCAAAGUAUAUAUAUAUUGUACAAAGUAUGUUUUUUUCUUCCUAAACAUAGAAUGGACACUUAUACAGUUAAUAAAAUUGUCAAUAAUACCUAGCAAAAUAUUUUCCAGUUUGCACUUUCUGCAUUUAGCGUAUGGUAAAAAUGUCAGCGAAAACAUGUUUAUGAAAAACAUAUGGGAUUUGUUUGUGUUUAUUUAUGAACAUAGAAUAUAAUUGCACACAGAAUUUCACAAAUUACCAAAUAAACCCAUAUU
This is a long non-coding RNA of Ictalurus punctatus (channel catfish), 761 nucleotides long. NCBI's taxonomy places the organism in Eukaryota, Metazoa, Chordata, Actinopteri, Siluriformes, Ictaluridae. The record is from Ensembl.